AGCAGCCGCGGUAAUUCCAGCUCCAAUAGCGUAUAUUAAAGUUGUUGCAGUUAAAAAGCUCGUAGUUGAAUUUCGAGACCGGUUUACUGGUCGUGCUUUUGUACGUACUGGUAUUAUCGGUUUCUCCUUUCUGACGAAUCAUAAUGCCAUUAAUUUGGUGUUUUGGGGAAUCAGGACUGUUACUUUGAAAAAAUUAGAGUGUUUAAAGCAGGCUCA
RNAcentral lists this ribosomal RNA (216 nucleotides) under uncultured Glomus. RNAcentral's name for it is "partial small subunit ribosomal RNA". It matches the Rfam family "Eukaryotic small subunit ribosomal RNA", at positions 569 to 788 of the family's 1831-position model. Lineage: Eukaryota; Fungi; Glomeromycota; Glomeromycetes; Glomerales; Glomeraceae. The record is from RNAcentral.